CAAAUAGGGAAAUGGAGAGGAAAAGGGGCCUCGGCGAUACCUUGGUAUACUGCAGUUAUUAGCGCUCAGUUGGUUUGAUUUGCCGAAUGGACGUUUUCAUGGUGGAGUAAAUGCUCGUUUCCAGACGCCAUGGAGUCCCAUGAGGAAAAGCCCAUCAUUUAUACGAUGGAGAAUAAACCCAUAGUGACAUGUGCUGGGGACCAAAACCUCUUAACUGCUCUUUAUAGCCUGCUGGCACAGCAGCUUCCCCGGGAGCCUAUGGAGUGGAGAAGGUCUUACGGGCGCGCGCCGAAGAUGAUCCAUCUAGAAGCCAACUUUGUCCAGUUCAAAGAGGAGCUGCUUCCUAAAGAGGGAAACAAGGCUCUCCUCACGUUCCCUUUCCUGCGCAUCUACUGGACUGACUGCUGUAAAGCAGAGUCUCUUCCAUGGAAAUGACCGGCAGGCUGAAGAUUGCGCUUCGGAGAGACAGACAGAGAGAGAGAGAGCGGUUGCUCUGAAGCAGUGGUGUAGUCUACUUUUUUGCAGCCCUAUGCGUCUGAUCCUCGGACGACGGAACACUCCCAAGGCUACAGUGCGGAGCUGAGAACUCGGACGAGAGACCAGACCGUCAGGGCUCACCGAACCAAUGGACCCUGACCUGGAGUCUGCCCCACCACCCCGACACACACUGCCUCCUCAGCAAGGCGGAGCAUCAUUCCCACAAGCGCCUCACCCACAGAGAAGGGGAGAAGUUGAGACGAAGGAAAAAAACUGAGCCUCUGGAAUCUCCUCCAGCCUACCAGCCGCCUCCAGCAUCAGCACCUCCCCUGCUUCUCCAUCACACACGAGAUCCGGUCUUACAUAUGGCGAUGGAAAAGAUACUCUCCUGGACCUGACCACGUGCUCACCAGUGGGUCCACAAGGCCAUAAUCUAAAGUCUGAAGUCCUUCAUCUUCCAAUGGUGGAAGUGGCUGGAGCUGAUGGCGUGCUUUUAGUCCACAGACCCUGGACGACAGCGGACAUGAAGGAAAGCAUGGCUUCUCUUCCCAAUGUGAGAGAGGUAGGAGGAAAGACAUUUGGUAAUGAGCUGUUGAUAUUUUGCAGAGAAUUCCGACCGGCCACCCAUGAACUUCGCCGCCUACUCAUGAUCAAGAUGGGUAUAGAUUGGAACAAAGUUUCCAAAGAGUGGCCGGACGCUGACCAGCGAAUGACUACACCAGACUGGACAGAGAUGUGAUUUUUCCGCGAAUUCGCGGAAUUCCGCUUUUUUCACCUCAAAACUUGAAAAAAAAAAUGUUUCCGAUUUUUCCCUCAAAUCCACAUUCGUAUCCUAUUCGUUCCGACUUUGUUUGAAAGAUGGCAGCCUCGGAUUUGCAUCUUUACACCUCGAUCACGGAGGCUGCCAUCUUUCAACUCUUUGUUUGAAGCGAGCGCAUUCAUUGGUUGUUACAGAGCGA
Molecule: RNA transcript, 1436 nt
Organism: Neoarius graeffei (lesser salmon catfish)
Lineage: Eukaryota; Metazoa; Chordata; Actinopteri; Siluriformes; Ariidae
Gene name: trafficking protein particle complex subunit 10-like
Exons: 6
Source: RefSeq, a predicted model, not a curated record